Molecule: non-coding RNA, 2983 nt
Organism: Danio rerio (zebrafish)
Lineage: Eukaryota; Metazoa; Chordata; Actinopteri; Cypriniformes; Danionidae
Source: RefSeq, a predicted model, not a curated record
CACGGUUUCCACACCCCGAGGGAGGACAGGAGAUGGACAGGAGGGGGACACCGGCUUUCGACGUCAAAAGCUACGGGUUAUACGGAGUGUCAACACCGUGAAUACAGCCGACAGAAUUACACAGCAUCUUCUUUCCUUUGCCUCUGCAUCAAAACAGCUGUCACGGUUCAGACCUUUCCAUCGGGACCCGUGUUUAACAUCGCAACUCUUCCCCCACCGCUGAGCCGCUCUCCAGUGCUGAAACCCCGGGCGCAGCUGUCGCUCCGUCCCCUUAGGAAACUGUCCUAAUGAAGGAGGCCGACGCCAUCAAGCUCUUUAUUGGCCAGAUCCCACGGAAUCUGGAGGAGAAGGACCUGAAGCCCAUCUUUGAGCAGUUCGGGAAGAUCUACGAGCUUACGGUGAUCAAGGACAAGUACACGGGAAUGCACAAAGGAUGUGCCUUCUUGACAUACUGUGCGAGGGAGUCAGCCUUGAAGGCCCAGAAUGCACUGCACGAGCAGAAGACAUUGCCAGGGAUGAACCGCCCCAUUCAAGUCAAGCCAGCGGACAGUGAAGGCCGAGGAGACAGGAAGCUGUUUGUGGGGAUGUUGGGGAAACAGCUGUCAGAUGCUGAUGUCAGAAAAAUGUUCGAGCCGUUCGGGAGUAUAGAGGAGUGUACAGUACUCAGAGGACCUGACGGAGCCAGCAAAGGUUGUGCGUUUGUAAAAUAUCAGAGUAACGCAGAAGCGCAGGCGGCCAUCAGCGCUCUCCACGGCAGCCGAACUCUCCCGGGUGCUUCUUCUAGUCUGGUGGUGAAGUUUGCAGACACGGAGAAGGAGCGAGGGAUCAGGCGUAUGCAGCAGGUGGCCUCUCAGCUGGGCGUCAUCAGUCCCAUGAGCCUCCACCUGGGCGCCUACAACGCCUACACACAGGCACUUGUCCAGCAGCAGGCGUUGGUGGCUCAGUCUGCAUAUCUGUCUCCGGUUGCGACGGUUGCGGCAGUACAGAUGCAGCAGUUGGCAGCUCUCAACCCCAGCAGCAUCAUCGCUACACCCAUUGCCUCAAUCACGCCCUCCUCAGUGUGUAAUUGUGCUGUAGGUACGAGCACUCCUCCAACCAUCGCCGCCACACCCGUGCCUGCUCUGCCUCCACCCAUCGCAGUCAACAGUUACCCACCGGUCCCUGCAGCGCCCAACGGCCAGUCUGCCUCCGAAGCACUCUACACUAACGGGGUCCACCCAUAUCAGGCUCAGAGUCCUGCGUUGGAUCCUCUCCAGCAGGCGUAUACAGGCAUGCAGCACUACACGGCUACAUACCCCGCUGCUUAUGGAUUGGUCGGUCAACCGUUCCCACAUCAGCCCACCUUGGUUGCCCAGCAACCCCAACAGCCGCAGCAGCUGCAACAACGAGAAGGACCAGAGGGCUGCAAUAUCUUUAUUUAUCAUCUGCCGCAGGAGUUCACUGACUCGGAGAUGCUGCAGAUGUUUCUGCCCUUCGGUAACGUCAUCUCAGCCAAGGUGUUCGUUGACCGCGCCACCAAUCAGAGCAAAUGCUUUGGUUUUGUAAGCUUCGACAACCCGGCGAGCGCACAGGCCGCCAUCCAGGCCAUGAACGGCUUUCAGAUCGGCAUGAAGAGGCUCAAAGUGCAGCUGAAGAGGCCUAAAGACGCCAACCGUCCAUACUGAGACCAACAGCUCAUCCACACCAAGGCUGCCCCGUCCAAUCAUAACUCGUGCGGAGACCACGUCGCUAUGGCUACGGUGGCCUAGCAACCAAUAAGCUCCCCCUUCCUCCCACAGCGUUGGUUUGGAAGACAGGAGAGGACUAACGGAGUCAGUUACGAGUCACUUUUCCUCCGCUGCAAAUAACGGGACCAACAACUUUUCGCAAAACUACAGUAUAAAAAAAACCUACCGAGAUUAUUUAAAGGAAAAAUAUACAUGUAAUAACAAAGACAGACUUAUUGCACAAGGUGCAGGUUAAAUAGAAGGAUUUACUACCUUAACAGUAUACGAUAUAGGACCAAUCUGCACCGCAGCGCCACUCGCUCUUCUGCUUCACACACUGUCGUGCCGUGUGCUUGUGGGUCGUCAUCUUUCUGCCCUCGGCCUGCACAUCUACGCACUACACACACACACAUAAAUGGGACCAACGCAAAUGUGUCAGUACUACACGAAUUUUGCUUCUGGGUUCAAAAGAACUACUGACUAUCAAAGUCUUUCUGCAGCAAUCUAAAAAUGUGUAUAUAGAAAUUUGAGGGGAUCAUGUUGUAGACAUAUCGAAACGGUUCGGGAGGGUGGGACUGGGUCAACGUGAUCAGAGCAAAGAAAUCAUGGUAGAUAGAGAAAAGAAUAUCCUUUGGGGAGUUUUGAAGGAGUUUGCUCUCGGUCUCUAAUCUGAGUCCAGUUAUACAUAGUUCUUCAUCUUUAAUACUUACGGAAACAAAAAGACCUGUGUGGGGUAUAGGAUGCCGGUCCUAUGUUGCAAUCCUCCCUAAAAUGACUGAAUAUAGUUUAUCACAGAGAAGCUGUAGUUAGAGGUUUUUUUUUUGUUUGUUUUGUUUUUUAGCUUUGUUAGUUUUUCGUUCAUUUUUUUAACAAAACAAAAAAAAAAUUGUGGAUGAUUCGAGAAGAUUCAUGAAAGGUAAAAACAUUAAAAAUGUAUUUCAUUGUAAAUAUCAUGCUUUUAAAAUGAAGGUCAAGAUUUAAACAUUUGGGAUAUUAUUAUUAUUAUUGCUAUUAUUAUUAUUAUUAUUUAGGGAAAGUAAUUUCUAUCUUUUUUUGCAAUUAAUUUAUUAAUUUCUUGAUGGAGGGCAUUUUUUAAAUUAUUUAUGAAGAUAGCGGAUCAUUGGCACGUCUGAUGAAUCCAUGUAUUUUUAGACAUUUUAUUUACAGAUUUACCAUUAAUGAACAAUCAUUAUUAUUAUUAUUCUAUUUAUUUUCUUCAACUGUUGUUUCACAACCUGUCAAUUACAAAAAAAAUUUGAAUAAAAUUUUAAACAAUA